This 469-nucleotide ribosomal RNA is filed under the name uncultured eukaryote. RNAcentral describes it as "eukaryotic LSU rRNA". It matches the Rfam family "Eukaryotic large subunit ribosomal RNA", at positions 1057 to 1523 of the family's 3401-position model. The record is from RNAcentral.
CUCGAACUCCGAACGGGCAAGGAGCCGGGGUCGCCCCGAUCGGACCCCGGACGUGAAGUCGACGAUGGUCGGUGGGCUGGUUUUGGUAAGCAGAACGGGCGAUUCGGGAUGAACCGGAAGCGGGGAGAAAGGGCCCGAGAUUGCGUCGACGCGGAUCCCGAAAAGGGCGUCGAUCCGUCGCGACAGCGGGACGGUGGUCAUGGAAGUCGAAAUCCGCUAAGAAGCGUGUAAAAACGUACCCGCCCAACGGAUCGGCCCCGAAAAUUGAUGGCGCUCGAACGCAACCCUCGAACCCCGCCGACGGAGGCUAGGGGAGGCCCCGUCGAGUAGGCGGACGCGCGGGUCGCUUCGACGCUCCCGCGCGAGCGGGGGCGGAGCGGCCCGUGGUGCACAUCUUGGUGGUAGUAGCGAUCACCCAGGCGAGAACCCCUGAGGGCCGAAGUGGAGAAGGGUUUCUCGAGAACGGCAC